This is a long non-coding RNA of Esox lucius (northern pike), 380 nucleotides long. The record is from Ensembl. NCBI's taxonomy places the organism in Eukaryota, Metazoa, Chordata, Actinopteri, Esociformes, Esocidae.
CUCAUUUUAACUUUUAGUACUGUAAUUGUUUAUUCCAUCUUCCAUUGAUUUACCUGACAUCGUAAUAACUUGCCACAUGAACGCUCUAAUGUUAGAGUGGUCUGUCAGCAACCUGAAACUGAAAUCAAUAUUGGACACACAGAGAAACAAUUUGAUUACGUUGACAUAGAUUUUCCACAGGCGUGGAGUCCCUGGCACAUUGUUGUAUACAUCCCCAUGGCCUCACCUCCAGACACAGUCAGAGUUAAGGUGUAACUCUGAGUCCCUGGAACAUUGUUGUAUACAUCCCCAUGGCCUCACCUCCAGACACAGUCAGAGUUAAGGUGUAACUCUGAGUCCCUGGCACAUUGUUGUAUACAUCCCAAUGGCCUCACCUCCAG